This 464-nucleotide ribosomal RNA is filed under the name uncultured bacterium. RNAcentral describes it as "bacterial SSU rRNA". It matches the Rfam family "Bacterial small subunit ribosomal RNA", at positions 338 to 795 of the family's 1533-position model. The record is from RNAcentral.
CCUACGGGGGGCCCAGUGGGGAAUAUUGCACAAUGGGCGCAAGCCUGAUGCAGCCAUGCCGCGUGUAUGAAGAGGGCCUUCGGGUUGUAAAGUACUUUCAGCGGGGAGGAAGGCGAUAAGGUUAAUAACCUUGUCGAUUGACGUUACCCGCAGAAGAAGCACCGGCUAACUCCGUGCCAGCAGCCGCGGUAAUACGGAGGGUGCAGGCGUUAAUCGGAAUUACUGGGCGUAGAGCGCACGCAGGCGGUCUGUCAAGUCGGAUGUGAAAUCCCCGGGCUCAACCUGGGAACUGCAUUCGAAACUGGCAGGCUGGAGUCUUGUAGAGGGGGGUAGAAUUCCAGGUGUAGCGGUGAAAUGCGUAGAGAUCUGGAGGAAUACCGGUGGCGAAGGCGGCCCCCUGGACAAAGACUGACGCUCAGGUGCGAAAGCGUGGGAAGCAAACAGGAUUAGAUACCCCUGUAGUC